RNAcentral lists this long non-coding RNA (333 nucleotides) under Solanum tuberosum (potato). RNAcentral describes it as "long non-coding RNA (STUB_LNC008023)". The record is from RNAcentral. Lineage: Eukaryota; Viridiplantae; Streptophyta; Magnoliopsida; Solanales; Solanaceae.
UGGGGACUUAUGACACCGGAUUCCAUGACAAGCUCUCAUGGUCUAUGUCGGUUAAAUGCUUACUUCCCAUCAUGUGAGAUUUCAUUAUGGUUUCUUGAUAGGUUCUACAAAGUGUAGGUGGUAGUAUGGGAUGCUACCUAUACAUUGCACGAGUAGGCUUGGAAAGGGUCAUAGUGAGUUUCUCUAAAUCCUAAUGUAUGUGAAAUAAAUGUGCCCUAAAUGGUUUCCUAAAGAAUGUUGGCUCUCAAAUGCUUAAUAUGAGAUGCAUGCUAUACUUGGGUUAUAUUAUGAGUUAUUUUCCCUUGUCAUGUCUUAAUUAAUGAUAUACCUCUU